GUACUCAUUUCAGCAGCACAUACACUAAAAUUGGAACCAUACAGAGAAGAUUAGCAUAGUCCCCAAACAAGGAUGACAUGCGAACUCUUGGAACAUUACACUUUUUC
Molecule: small nuclear RNA, 107 nt
Organism: Balaenoptera musculus (blue whale)
Lineage: Eukaryota; Metazoa; Chordata; Mammalia; Artiodactyla; Balaenopteridae
Source: Ensembl